CCUACGGGGGGCAGCAGUGGGGAAUAUUGGACAAUGGGGGCAACCCUGAUCCAGCCAUGCCGCGUGUGUGAAGAAGGCCCUCGGGUUGUAAAGCACUUUCAGUGAGGAAGAACGCCUGGUGGUUAAUACCCAUCAGGAAAGACAUCACUCACAGAAGAAGCACCGGCUAACUCCGUGCCAGCAGCCGCGGUAAUACGGAGGGUGCGAGCGUUAAUCGGAAUUACUGGGCGUAAAGCGCGCGUAGGUGGCUUGAUAAGCCGGUUGUGAAAGCCCCGGGCUCAACCUGGGAACGGCAUCCGGAACUGUCAAGCUAGAGUGCAGGAGAGGAAGGUAGAAUUCCCGGUGUAGCGGUGAAAUGCGUAGAGAUCGGGAGGAAUACCAGUGGCGAAGGCGGCCUUCUGGACUGACAAUGACACUGAGGUGCGAAAGCGUGGGUAGCAAACAGGAUUAGAUACCCUUGUAGUC
Molecule: ribosomal RNA, 465 nt
Filed under: Vreelandella stevensii
Lineage: Bacteria; Pseudomonadati; Pseudomonadota; Gammaproteobacteria; Oceanospirillales; Halomonadaceae
Description: partial 16S ribosomal RNA
Rfam family: Bacterial small subunit ribosomal RNA
Source: RNAcentral